CCCUUAGAUGUUCUGGGCCGCACGCGCGCUACACUGACGAAGUCAGCGAGCAUGUCCUACGCCGACAGGUGCGGGUAAUCUUGUCAAACUUCGUCGUGAUGGGGAUUGAUUAUUGAAAUUCUUGAUCAUCAACGAGGAAUUCCUAGUAAGCGCAAGUCAGCAGCUUGCGUUGAUUACGUCCCUGCCCUUUGUACACACCGCCCGUCGCUACUACCGAUUGAAUGGUUUAGUGAGAUCUUCGGAUUGGCGCCACUGCGGCUCAGCAAUGGGCUCGGUGGAUGCCGAAAAGUUGAUCAAACUUGAUCAUUUAGAGGAAGUAAAAGUCGUAACA
Molecule: ribosomal RNA, 331 nt
Filed under: uncultured eukaryote
Lineage: Eukaryota
Description: partial 18S ribosomal RNA
Rfam family: Eukaryotic small subunit ribosomal RNA
Source: RNAcentral